Molecule: ribosomal RNA, 301 nt
Filed under: uncultured bacterium
Lineage: Bacteria
Description: partial 16S ribosomal RNA
Rfam family: Bacterial small subunit ribosomal RNA
Source: RNAcentral
CAGUCGCCGCGGUAAUACAGAGGGUGCAAGCGUUAAUCGGAGUUACUGGGCGUAAAGGACGCGUAGGCGGUUAUAUAAGUGAGAUGUGAAAUCCCUGGGCUUAACCUAGGAACUGCAUCUUAUACUGUAUGGCUAGAGUAUUGUAGAGGGUAGUGGAAUUUCCGGUGUAGCGGUGAAAUGCGUAGAGAUCGGAAGGAACACCAGUGGCGAAGGCGGCUACCUGGACAAAUACUGACGCUGAGGCGCGAAAGCGUGGGGAGCAAACAGGAUUAGAUACCCCAGUAGUCCCUGUCUCUUAUAA